UAUACAAAUGAUUUUGUU
RNAcentral lists this small nuclear RNA (18 nucleotides) under Arabidopsis thaliana (thale cress). RNAcentral describes it as "snRNA_15857". Lineage: Eukaryota; Viridiplantae; Streptophyta; Magnoliopsida; Brassicales; Brassicaceae. The record is from RNAcentral.